Molecule: ribosomal RNA, 634 nt
Filed under: uncultured bacterium
Lineage: Bacteria
Description: bacterial SSU rRNA
Rfam family: Bacterial small subunit ribosomal RNA
Source: RNAcentral
GUUUGAUCAUGGCUCAGGAUGAACGCUGGCGGCGUGCCUAACACAUGCAAGUCGAACGAAGCAAUUUAACGGAAGUUUUCGGAUGGAAGUUGAAUUGACUGAGUGGCGGACGGGUGAGUAACGCGUGGGUAACCUGCCUUGUACUGGGGGACAACAGUUAGAAAUGACUGCUAAUACCGCAUAAGCGCACAGUAUCGCAUGAUACAGUGUGAAAAACUCCGGUGGUACAAGAUGGACCCGCGUCUGAUUAGCUAGUUGGUAAGGUAACGGCUUACCAAGGCGACGAUCAGUAGCCGACCUGAGAGGGUGACCGGCCACAUUGGGACUGAGACACGGCCCAAACUCCUACGGGAGGCAGCAGUGGGGAAUAUUGCACAAUGGGCGAAAGCCUGAUGCAGCGACGCCGCGUGAGUGAAGAAGUAUUUCGGUAUGUAAAGCUCUAUCAGCAGGGAAGAAAAUGACGGUACCUGACUAAGAAGCCCCGGCUAACUACGUGCCAGCAGCCGCGGUAAUACGUAGGGGGCAAGCGUUAUCCGGAUUUACUGGGUGUAAAGGGAGCGUAGACGGUAAAGCAAGUCUGAAGUGAAAGCCCGCGGCUCAACUGCGGGACUGCUUUGGAAACUGUUAACUGGAG